UACGUAGGGUCCGAGAGUUGUCCGGAAUUAUUGGGCGUAAAGAGCUCGUAGGCGGUAUGUCGCGUCUGCUGUGAAAGACCGGGGCUUAACUUCGGUUUUGCAGUGGAUACGGGCAUGCUUGAGGUAGGUAGGGGAGACUGGAAUUCCUGGUGUAGCGGUGAAAUGCGCAGAUAUCAGGAGGAACACCGGUGGCGAAGGCGGGUCUCUGGGCCUUACCUGACGCUGAGGAGCGAAAGCAUGGGUAGCCAACAGGAUUAGAUACACGUGUAGU
RNAcentral lists this ribosomal RNA (271 nucleotides) under uncultured prokaryote. RNAcentral's name for it is "partial 16S ribosomal RNA". It matches the Rfam family "Bacterial small subunit ribosomal RNA", at positions 524 to 794 of the family's 1533-position model. The record is from RNAcentral.